This is a long non-coding RNA of Chenopodium quinoa (quinoa), 1828 nucleotides long. RefSeq lists it as uncharacterized. The transcript is spliced from 7 exons. The record is from RefSeq and is a predicted model, not a curated record. Lineage: Eukaryota; Viridiplantae; Streptophyta; Magnoliopsida; Caryophyllales; Amaranthaceae.
AUAUAGUAAAAACUUAGAACAUAGGAAAUUAGAACAUUGGGGAAAAAAAUUAGAUCAUAGGAAAAAAAAUUGGAACAUAUGAAAAAAAAUUUAGAACUUAGAUAGAAAAAUUUACUACUACAUUUUUUAUCUAAUGCAACGGCGAAGACGGAGCUAAUACAACGGCUCUACUAUUAUUAGACAAGGCUAAUACAACGGCAUCAUGUUAAUAUAUCAAACACUGGGCUAAUACAACGGUUUUAAAAAACCGUUACAUUAGGCCAGCUAAUCCAACGGCUCAUUUUGGCUAAUCCAAUGGCAAUAUUGCCUAAUCCAACGGCAAAAUAUCUAAUACAACGGCACUGUUUUUGUAUAGGCGCCAAAACGAAAUUUCCAUUUAUUAACUUCCCUCCUCAUUUUUCCCCAAAUUCAUCUCACUACGCUCGCAAUUACCCAGAAGAUAACUCAUUUUCCCCUAAUUUUCAUUUUUAGCUAGCUCUGUCUAUAUUCCCACGCCCUUCAGUUCCUCAUUUUUCCCAAUUCAGUGCCCAGCUUUGUUCACAAAUUCACAUUUUUUUUUCCUAAUUCUCUCUCUUCUUCCUCUUCAAAUGGUAGAUUAGGCGAAUUGAAGGAAGGCGCUGGCGGUAGCGGUGGUGGUGGCUGAUUGUUCGACUCUUGCAUGUGACAAAUUUCCUCGGAUCUUUAAGGUGAAGAUAAAAAAGGACUUAAGAUAAAUAGAAUAAGGUGUUGAACAAUUGCCGGCAGCACAAAGGGUUUUUUAUCUUUAAGUUGCCUUGGAAGUAACAUCAACAACAGAUAUAAAGGCGAGAGUUUUCGUAGUUUCCGAGCCCGUUUGGGCAUGAUUGUAGAGAUCCUUAUGAGUUUCAGCUUUGUCUUGUCUCAGUUGGAAAUUUAGAAGCUGCAGUUAGUUUAUUACUAUCCACUUCCCCUGAAAGCCAUUACUUCUAUGCAAACGCGCUGCGUGCAGUUGCCCUCGCUUCUGCUGUGUCAAAGUCUCUUCUUGAACUUGCUGUUAAGGUUGUUGCAGCUAAACUAUUGUCUGGCACUCAUCUUCUUUGUGCUGUUGGAAGGCAUCAAGAAGCUUGUUCUCAGGCCAAUUUUCUCCCCUUCUUAGGAUAGCCAUAGAAGGGUAAAAAGGAACAAAAUUGUGUAUUCAAAUUAAUUUAAACGAAACUCAGUCAAGAAUAGUGGGAUAGGGGAAGUAGGAUGACCACUUAUUGCGGUGCAUAGGAUGGGUGCUUCCUCAUAUUCGUCCCCCUAGGCUUCUAUGUGACUCUCAGUGCUGCAGAAAUACAUUAAGUAGACUUCCGUUGCUGCAUUUCCAGUAGGACUUGUGCAAAAACCACUUGGCCUCUAGUCUAUUAAGUGCCUUAAUCAAGAGGAGACAAGUGCUGCUCGAGUGUAGCUUAUUGCAGUACUGUUUGUGCUCUGUGGCUGUUGAUAAGUUUUAUUUCAGACAAAUAUAAUGGGUUGCUCUUAAAAUUUGUGUGAUGAUCUACUAAAAAUCUAAGCCAAAUUGGAAGAUUAUGUGCGACUCAUGUGGGAUUUUGGUGCAUGGCGAGCUAGAUGGAGGUGAAUGAAGUACAAUGAUUAUAUAUUGUCAUCCAACAAAUGGAGCGUACACGUCGGUGACUAAUUUUAUUUAGUUCGAGCUUGUGAAGAUUAGGAUUUGUAUUUUGGACGAUUUUUAAUUAGUAAACUUUUAUUAUUUAUUAUUAGUUAGUAUCGGUAGUGUAACAUAUAUAUGGAAACAAUAUUUUGUAAUGUAACGUACAUAUUAUAUAUACUUCGUUUAUUGUUAUAAAUAUAUUGAUAUAUUUUAUAUUUA